Molecule: ribosomal RNA, 303 nt
Filed under: uncultured bacterium
Lineage: Bacteria
Description: partial 16S ribosomal RNA
Rfam family: Bacterial small subunit ribosomal RNA
Source: RNAcentral
AGCAGCCGCCGCGGUAAUACAUAGGUGGCAAGCGUUGUCCGGAAUUAUUGGGCGUAAAGGGCUCGCAGGCGGUUUCUUAAGUCUGAUGUGAAAGCACCCGGCUCAACCGGGGAGGGUCAUUGGAAACUGGGAAACUUGAGUGCAGAAGAGGAGAGUGGAAUUCCACGUGUAGCGGUGAAAUGCGUAGAGAUGUGGAGGAACACCAGUGGCGAAGGCGACUCUCUGGUCUGUAACUGACGCUGAGGAGCGAAAGCGUGGGGAGCGAACAGGAUUAGAUACCCGAGUAGUCCCUGUCUCUUAUAC